This 253-nucleotide ribosomal RNA is filed under the name uncultured bacterium. RNAcentral's name for it is "partial 16S ribosomal RNA". It matches the Rfam family "Bacterial small subunit ribosomal RNA", at positions 524 to 776 of the family's 1533-position model. The record is from RNAcentral.
UACAGAGGUCCCAAGCGUUGUUCGGAUUUACUGGGCGUAAAGGGUGCGUAGGCGGUCGGGUAAGUCUGGUGUGAAAUUUCGGAGCUUAACUCCGAAACUGCAUUGGAUACUAUCCGGCUCGAGGUUGGGAAGGGAGACUGGAAUUCUCGGUGUAGCAGUGAAAUGCGUAGAUAUCGAGAGGAACACCAGUGGCGAAGGCGAGUCUCUGGACCAAUCCUGACGCUGAGGCACGAAAGCCAGGGGAGCAAACGGG